RNAcentral lists this ribosomal RNA (497 nucleotides) under uncultured bacterium. RNAcentral's name for it is "partial 16S ribosomal RNA". It matches the Rfam family "Bacterial small subunit ribosomal RNA", at positions 28 to 507 of the family's 1533-position model. The record is from RNAcentral.
GAUGAACGCUGGCGGCGUGCCUAAUACAUGCAAGUCGAGCGAACAGACGAGGAGCUUGCUCCUCUGACGUUAGCGGCGGACGGGUGAGUAACACGUGGAUAACCUACCUAUAAGACUGGGAUAACUUCGGGAAACCGGAGCUAAUACCGGAUAAUAUAUUGAACCGCAUGGUUCAAUAGUGAAAGACGGUUUUGCUGCCACUUAUAGAUGGAUCCGCGCCGCAUUAGCUAGUUGGUAAGGUAACGGCUUACCAAGGCAACGAUGCGUAGCCGACCUGAGAGGGUGAUCGGCCACACUGGAACUGAGCCCCGGUCCAGCCUCCUACGGGAGGCAGCAGUAGGGAAUCUUCCGCAAUGGGCGAAAGCCUGACGGAGCAACGCCGCGUGAGUGAUGAAGGUCUUCGGAUCGUAAACCUCUGUUAUUAGGGAAGAACAAAUGUGUAAGUAACUAUGCACGUCUUGACGGUACCUAAUCAGAAAGCCCCGGCUAACUACGUG